This 1832-nucleotide long non-coding RNA is filed under the name Mus musculus (house mouse). Its description in RNAcentral is "myeloid RNA regulator of BCL2L11 induced cell death". Lineage: Eukaryota; Metazoa; Chordata; Mammalia; Rodentia; Muridae. The record is from RNAcentral.
GAGAAUGAGGGGACUGGGUGACUUUGCAGUGUCUGCUUUCUAAGUUUCAAAGUGACUUUCCAGGCAAGCUGCGCAUAUCUUGGGAUCUUCACAGCACAGUGGCUGGGAAGGCAGGCGGACCCGUCUAUCAGCUUCUCCCUGGUGGGAUUCUUGCGGGGGCAGGGAUCGAGUCAAACCUUGGAAAUGACGUCAUUCUGAACUCAUCUGCCUUUAUCCAGAAGACUACCAAAGCAAACCAGAGGACCAGAGAACAGCAGCUGCUCUGGACAAAGAGGGGAGGACACCCACACCCACAUACCAAGUUCUGGUUGACUUCUACAGCAGAAGAAGCAGGAGACACAAGAAGGGGAAGACACAAGGAAGCUGGGCAUGAUGGCCAAGUGUUAGAGGGUUACACUACUGCCUUCUGCUUCUGAUCUGAUUGAGUCACAGCUGAGAUGUGGCACCAGGACUCUUGGCUACACUCAGUUCUCUCAGUUUGACUGAGUACUCUGGGAUCACAGAAGUGACUACAUGAUGCUUGACUUGACCCUCUGACACCAGAGAACUUAUAGAUCUUGCUCUGGCCUCAAGGGAGGAGAAAAACCUCAAAAUCGAUCAGGACUGGAGUAGAUAACACUCCACUGUGCCUAUCAGUGGGAUUCUACUGAGCCACCAGGAGUACACACAAGGCUUCAGGCCCAAAGCAACAGGGCCCACCAGCCAUAGACAGAACUGUCUGAAGCUGUGAGCCCAAAGAAAUUCCUCCAUCUUGUUUUCCUGGGACUCUGUCACACUGAUGAAAAGUUCUAUGAUUCUAGGCUUUAGUAAGAAGGCCUUCGGAAUCUCCAAAGAAACCAAACGUGUACGUGGGAAGAAGUGUACUUGGUUCGUGUGAUUAUGGAGUCUGACAAGUUCAAAAUCUUCAGUGAGAGCUGUCUGGCUGUAUUCACGAAGAACCGAUGCCAUACUGUCUGGCUGGCAUUAGAGCCCUCUGGACUGAGAAAAAUGAAGAAUACCACCCCUCCUCCAUGACAAGGAGGGAACCAGGGGUCCAGAGCAGAAAGCAGUCCAGACCACUUAAGCUGUGGCUCUGCUGGCUCCGAGGGCAGCCAGAGCUUCACUGGCCCCUUCUUGGUAACAGCUGGUGGAAUGCCCCGACCUGCACAGAACAGGGAAGGGCUCCAGACCCUUCCCGUUGAGCACACAUUUCGUCCAGAUGUGCGGGUGGAAGCAGAGGGUGGAAAUACCACCGAGGCUGACGAUAAUGUGUUAACCAAAACAGGAAGCCCCGAGGAAGGUGGACGAGUGGGUUUCACUUCAGCUGUGUGAUUUUUAUCAAUACGUUUAUUGUUCUAAAACUCUUCUUUUUAAAAGGUAUUUUCAAAACAAGCCCAACCUCUGCUUCCCAUUCUGAAUUAUUGUGUUGACUCUGUGCUUACAUUUAGGGCAAGAGUGGAAGAAAAUAAGGACACCUGGUAGAGGUGGUGAAAUAUCAGGUCCUUGCCUAGGAGUGGGGAACAGGGAAUUUUUACUGACUGAGAGACUGUUUCCUCAUGGAGAAAGGACAUGGGUCCAGGACCCUGGGCAACCCAGAAAGAAUUAGGAUGAGCUGAGCUCUGUGGUGACAGCAUGAUCUCCCUUAAGUAUCAAGCACCCCAGUGGCAGACAUUCAAAGCUACCCUCUGCUUGAGACCCAAGCAAGUCCUGUGCAUGCUCGUUGUUUCUGUGAGAAAUUUGCAGAGCAUGAAAAUUAGACCCUCUGAAGAACAAGCUUAUUAAUCAGAAAUUAUCAGCAGCAUUCUGUUGGCUUUGUUCUAUGAAACAAACAAACAAACAAACAAACAAACAAA